UAAUAAAGGGAAAAAAGACCCCUGAGGAG
RNAcentral lists this non-coding RNA (29 nucleotides) under Mus musculus (house mouse). RNAcentral also lists the same sequence under 1 other name. The record is from RNAcentral. Lineage: Eukaryota; Metazoa; Chordata; Mammalia; Rodentia; Muridae.